UCUUAGUUGUUUCCCUUUGGGAUUACCCUCUAAGAAGACUGCCUCGGAUAACGGGGAGAAGUGGGAUGACGUCAAGUCCGCAUGCUCCUUACGUCUAGGGCUACACACGUCCUACAAUGGGGUCGACAAUGGGAUGCAAUAUCGCAAGAUGGAGCCAAUCCCCAAACGGCCUCUCAGUUCGGAUUGUAGUCUGCAACUCGACUACAUGAAGUUGGAAUCGCUAGUAAUGGCAGAUCAGCAUGCUGCCGUGAAUACGUUCCCGGGUCUU
RNAcentral lists this ribosomal RNA (268 nucleotides) under uncultured bacterium. Its description in RNAcentral is "partial 16S ribosomal RNA". It matches the Rfam family "Bacterial small subunit ribosomal RNA", at positions 1109 to 1382 of the family's 1533-position model. The record is from RNAcentral.